AUUCAGCUGAUGAGUCCUAAGUAGGACGAAAUGGUCUUCUUGGAU
Non-coding RNA from Schistosoma mattheei, 45 nucleotides. Lineage: Eukaryota; Metazoa; Platyhelminthes; Trematoda; Strigeidida; Schistosomatidae. The record is from Rfam.